RNAcentral lists this long non-coding RNA (228 nucleotides) under Elaeis guineensis (African oil palm). RNAcentral's name for it is "long non-coding RNA (EGUI_LNC074208)". The record is from RNAcentral. Lineage: Eukaryota; Viridiplantae; Streptophyta; Magnoliopsida; Arecales; Arecaceae.
AUGAGUUGGGAAAAGUCUUCAUCGAAUAUCUCAAAAAUUCAAGUGUUGACUUCAAAAAAAAAGUUCACUAGGUCCAAGUCGGUCAUGAAUCGAGCUAGAUUGAUCCAUUCGUUGAAUUCUUGACUAACAAAAUCUUGCUAGCUAAUCCUACUGAGGCAUGCCAAAUGAAGAGAUUGAUGGCUCGGUACGUGAUCAUCGAUAAUCGAUUUUAUCGAAGAUCGACAUUUU